RNAcentral lists this transfer RNA (64 nucleotides) under Dipodomys ordii (Ord's kangaroo rat). It matches the Rfam family "tRNA". Rfam says of the family: Transfer RNA (tRNA) molecules are approximately 80 nucleotides in length. Their secondary structure includes four short double-helical elements and three loops (D, anti-codon, and T loops). Further hydrogen bonds mediate the characteristic L-shaped molecular structure. tRNAs have two regions of fundamental functional importance: the anti-codon, which is responsible for specific mRNA codon recognition, and the 3' end, to which the tRNAs corresponding amino acid is attached (by aminoacyl-tRNA synthetases). tRNAs cope with the degeneracy of the genetic code in two manners: having more than one tRNA (with a specific anti-codon) for a particular amino acid; and 'wobble' base-pairing, i.e. permitting non-standard base-pairing at the 3rd anti-codon position. The record is from Rfam by way of RNAcentral. Lineage: Eukaryota; Metazoa; Chordata; Mammalia; Rodentia; Heteromyidae.
GGGAAGUUGGCUCAGUGGUAGAGCGCUUGUCUUGAAUGCAUGAGGCCUUGGGUUUGAUUACUCA